UACGUAGGGGGCAAGCGUUGUCCGGAAUCAUUGGGCGUAAAGAGCGUGUAGGCGGCCCGAUAAGUCCGCUGUGAAAGUCCAGGGCUCAACCCUGGGAUGCCGGUGGAUACUGUCGGGCUCGAGUCCGGAAGAGGCGAGUGGAACUCCUGGUGUAGCGGUGGAAUGCGCAGAUAUCAGGAAGAACACCAACGGCGAAGGCAGCUCGCUGGGACGGAACUGACGCUGAGGCGCGAAAGCGUGGGGAGCGAACAGG
Molecule: ribosomal RNA, 253 nt
Filed under: uncultured bacterium
Lineage: Bacteria
Description: partial 16S ribosomal RNA
Rfam family: Bacterial small subunit ribosomal RNA
Source: RNAcentral